ACACGUCUGCGGUGUUACCCACGACUGCCUGGGACCUGGCCAAGGGCUCCACACACCAAGACCAAGGCAGCAGGAAGGAGAAAGGAGGGAAGGUAAAAGACUACUGAAAAGCUUUCAGCUGGGGCUGGGCAUGGAGGCUCACACCUGUAAUCCCAACACUUUGGGAAGCCGAGGCUGGUGGAUCACUUGAGCCCAGGAGUCUGAGACCAGCCUGGCCAACAUGGCAAAACCCUGUCGCUACAAAAAAUACAAGAAUUAGCCAUGUGCACCUGUGGUCCCAGCUCCCAGGGCCGGGAGCCUGAAACCAAGGUGUCCACAGGGCCCUGCUGCCCCCAGAGGCUCUGGGCAGAGCCCUUCCGCCUUUCCAGCUCCCCCUGGUUCCCGUGCUCCUCGGCCUGUGGCCCCAUCACUCUGGCCUCUGCCUUCAUCUCAUGCCGAGAUCCCUGAAGCGGGCCCAGCUCCGUUCACUGCUCCCCCGGCCUCCUGCUGUUUCCCACACGCAGCCAUGGUACAGGGCAGCUCAUCCCACCACCUCCCCAACCGCAGCCUCCAGGGAUGUACACCCUGCCUCAGGGGCUGUGCCUGGGCCCUGGCUGGUGGAGGGCACAGCCGUCAGGGAAGGCCCUCAGCUGCAGGAUGCCGUGCCUCAGAGACCAACCAGGCCCUCGAAGGCACUGUGGCCGGCCCAGAUGUCAGCAGCUCCAGCAAUUAGGCUGGGACAGAUGGUGCCUGGUGACACAAGGGGACUGUGGGGGCCACAGGGGACCCUGCUCACCUGGACCUACCGUGGAGGCCAGGGAGGGAGAUGGACUCGAAGGGCGGAAGGGCCCAGAGAAGGCACAUUUGCAGAGCAGCGGCCGCAUUUCCAGAGCUCGGGAGCCCAACAGGAAUCCCGUCUGGCCAUGGGACCACCGCCCUUGGGGCUGGGGGAUGCCGCAGGGGACGGCAGAGGGCAGACAGGCCAGGAAAAGGGGAGGGCAGAGGGCAGACAGGCCAGGAAGAGCGCCUGCAAGUGCCCAAGGAAGGGACCAAACCCAGGCCCCUGGACCAGAGCGGCCGCCUGGUGGGGCAGGCUGGAAGGGGCCAAGGCCAGCGCCAAGGGGGAGCAGGUGAGGGACCCUGGUGGGCAUCUGUGGGAACAAGGCCACGUUUCUCCCUGCGCACGCUUUAAUCAAGGACAUUCCUGUGGUUCUCCAAAAGUGUCGCACACUACAUGGGUGUCGUGAGCUGGGCUCCGUGAGAGUGUGCGGGUGGCUGGGGGCAGCAAGGGAGCAGCAAGGCCUCAAACCCGGGCGGCGGCCUGGCCUGCGCGCCAGGAUGUGCGGUGUGAGUUUCCCGAGCUGCAGGAACAAGGUCCACAGACUGGGGAGCUUCACACAACAGAAACUGCCUCGCAGUUCCCGAGGCCAGAGCCCAUCGGGGUGGCUCCCUGAGGCCGUGAGCCCGGACUGUCCUGGGCCGCCCCCUCUUCCACAGGCUGAGAUCAUCCUUGGCGUCUGUUGGCCUGCGGCCGCCUCGCCCAACCUCUGCCCUCAUGUCCACACGGGUCCUCCCUGUGUGCAUGUUGGUGUCUGGAUCUGCCCUUUCUACUGUGGGGCAACUGUCGUCGAGGAUAGGGCCCACCACACAACACGGCCUCAUCGUAACUAAGUAUAGUCAGCAGUGAUCCUAUUUCCCAAUAAGGUCCCAUUCUGAGGUCCUGGACUUCAACAUGUGAAUUUUGGGGGCCACAACUCUACCCUGGCAUGCAGAGAGAGAAGGGGGGCGUGGAGUCCCCCUGGGGGGAAGUCCCUUGGGAAGUCACAGGCCCCCUUGGUGGGGCAAUUGGGACGUGGGUGUGAGGGUCCUGGGUACAGGGAGCCUGCCUACCAAGGCUCUGCCGACAGCUAUUUCUAAAUUCCUCGUGGAAAAUACCCUGUGGCCCUCCUCAUCUGGAGCGAGCGACGGGCUGGAGGGUGUCUGAGCCAGGCUGGUGCCGGGGAGCAGAUGUGGGUGGCCCAACCCAGCCCCUUGUUCUUGUUCCCC
This 2025-nucleotide long non-coding RNA is filed under the name Homo sapiens (human). RNAcentral describes it as "non-protein coding LINC00482:8". Lineage: Eukaryota; Metazoa; Chordata; Mammalia; Primates; Hominidae. The record is from RNAcentral.